CCUGCCAUGAUUCAGCACCAGCAGAAGAAGCUGACAUGCCUGAAAAUUUCAAUUUCUGAGAACAACCUCUCUGCUAAUGUGAACUUGAGUUCUUGCCCUGAAUUGUGGUGCUAAAGUGUCUCAGGGAAAUGACACUCCACAGGACCAUAGAACUAUCUCAGCAAACCACUGACUGGUUUAAAGAGGGGAAAUUCUGUGGAAGCACCCUUGUUUGGUUCCUAGAAUUUGUUUUGAUCGGCUCCCAAACAUGAGGGGAUACGAAGGAGACAGUGACCAGAUAACUUAUUAAAACCAAGGAGCUAUAUCCUGACUACUAUAA
Molecule: non-coding RNA, 319 nt
Organism: Anolis sagrei ordinatus
Lineage: Eukaryota; Metazoa; Chordata; Lepidosauria; Squamata; Anolidae
Source: RefSeq, a predicted model, not a curated record